GGCUUCUUCAUAGCUCAGUUGGUAGAGAUCACACUGGUAACGCGGAGGUCAUGGGUUCAAUUCCCGUUAAAGCCC
This is a non-coding RNA of Desmophyllum pertusum, 75 nucleotides long. The record is from the annotation of a GenBank genome assembly. NCBI's taxonomy places the organism in Eukaryota, Metazoa, Cnidaria, Anthozoa, Scleractinia, Caryophylliidae.